AUAGUUAAGCUACUAAGGGCGUACGGUGGAUGCCUUGGCGCGAAAUGCCGAAGAAGGACGUGGAACACUGCGAUAAGCCUCGGGGAGCCGUGUGCAGGCUGCGAUCCGGGGAUGUCCGAAUGGGGAAACCUGGCGUCGGGACGCAAGUCUCCGAUGUCAUCCCUUGGCUGAACACAUAGGCCUGGGGAAGGGAACCUGGGGAACUGAAACAUCUUAGUACCCAGAGGAAAAGAGAUCAUUCCGCUAGUAGUGGCGAGCGAACGCGGAACAGCCCAAACCGGCUCAGCUUGCUGGGCCGGGGUUGUAGGACCGGCAUAUGGGAGUGAUAAAUCGGCGGGUUAGCAGAAUGGUGUUGAAAAGCCUACCAUAGAGGGUGCUAGUCCCGUAUGCGAAAAUCAGCCGACUCCUGCCGGGAUCCUGAGUACCACCGGGCACGCUAAUCCGGUGGGAAGCUGGGGAGUCCACUCUCCAAGGCUAAAUACAUAUCGCGACCGAUAGUGAACAAGUACCGUGAGGGAAAGGUGAAAAGAACCCCUGUUAGGGGAGUGAAAUAGAACCUGAAACCGUGCGCUUACAAGCGGUCGGAGGGCUAAUAGCGGGUCUGUGUCCCCGGGAAACCGGGAGAUGCGCCGCUAUGCCUGACGGCGUGCCUUUUGGAGAAUGAGCCGGCGAGUUAAUCUCUGUGGCGAGGUUAAGGGAUGCACACCCGAAGCCGUAGCGAAAGCGAGUCUGAAUAGGGCGCCAGAGUCGCAGGGAUUAGACACGAAACCAAGUGAGCUACCCAUGGCCAGGGUGAAGCGAGUCUAAACGCUCGUGGAGGCCCGAACCUUUCGCUGUUGCAAAAGCGUGGGAUGAGCUGUGGGUAGAGGUGAUAUGCCAAACGAACUUGGAGAUAGCUUGUUCUCCCCGAAAUAGCUUUAGGGCUAGCGUCACGCGUUCAGUAUCGGAGGUAGAGCACUGGAUGGGCUAGGGGGCUUAUCGCUUACCAAACCUUACCAAACUCCGAAUGCCGAUACUUCAGAGCGUGGCAGUCGGACCAUGGGAGAUGAGUUUCAUGGUCGAGAGGGAAAGAGCCCAGACCAUCGGCUAAGGUCCUUAAGUCUGAGCUAAGUGGGAAACGAUGUGGGAUUGUUCAGACAGCCAGGAGGUUGGCUUAGAAGCAGCCAUCCUUUAAAGAGUGCGUAACAGCUCACUGGUCAAACGAUCCUGCGCGGAUAAUGUAACGGGGCUUAAGCUCAGCACCGAAGCCAUGGGUUUCAAUCACCUGCGGGUGAUUGGAGCGGUAGGGGAGCGUUCUGCCUGCGCGGAAGGUCGACCGAAAGGACGGCUGGAGCGGGCAGAAGUGAGAAUGCCGGCAUGAGUAGCGUAAAACACGUGAGAACCGUGUUCGCCGUAUGUCUAAGGUUUCCGACGGAAGGUCAAUCCGCGUCGGGUUAGUCGGGCCUUAGCCGAGGCCGAGAGGCGUAGGCGAUGGACAUCCGGUCAAUAUUCCGGAACCACCUGGGAGGAGCGAUGGGGGGACGCAGCGAGGUAGGCCAGCCUGUGAUUGGUCGUGCAGGUGCUAAGCGUGUAGGCGAUGAUGGGCACAGGCAAAUCCGUGCCCGGAGCUGAGGCGCGAUGGCGAGCCCCUGAGGCGGAAGUGGUUGAGCCUUGCUGCCAAGAAAAACCUCUAAGCGAUGAACCCCGGGUGACCGUACCGCAAACCGACACUGGUAGACGGGUAGAGUAUACCAAGGCGAACGGGAGAACCCUCGUUAAGGAACUAGGCAAAUUGGCCCCGUAACUUCGGGAGAAGGGGCGCCUCCCCCUGUGAAUCUAAUUCUGGUGGAGCUAGGGGAGGUCGCAGUGAAAUGGCUCUGGUGACUGGUUACCAAAACCACAGGUCUCUGCUAAGCCGUAAGGCGAUGUAUAGGGGCUGACGCCUGCCCAGUGCCGGAAGGUUAAAGGGAAGGGUUAGCUUUCGAGCGAAGCUCAGAACUGAAGCCCCGGUGAACGGCGGCCGUAACUAUAACGGUCCUAAGGUAGCNNNNNNNNNNNNNNNNNNNNNGAUGCGCGUUACCCGCAGCAGGACAAAAAGACCCCGUGGAGCUUUACUAUAGCUUGGCAUUGAGUUUGGGCUUAGCUUGUGUAGGAUAGGUGGGAGGCUGUGAAGCCGGGGCGCCAGCUUCGGUGGAGCCAAAAGUGGAAUACCACCCUGGUUAAGUUAGGGCUCUAACCCCUGACCGUUAUCCGGCAGGGGGACAGUGCCUGGUGGGUAGUUUGACUGGGGCGGUCGCCUCCUAAAAGGUAACGGAGGCGCCCAAAGGUUCCCUCAGGCUGAAUGGAAACCAGCCGUAGAGUGUAAAGGCAUAAGGGAGCUUGACUGCAAGACCUACAAGUCGAGCAGAGACGAAAGUCGGGCUUAGUGAUCCCACGGUACCGAGUGGAAGGGCCGUGGCUUACCGGAUAAAAGCUACCCCGGGGAUAACAGGCUNNNNNNNNNNNNNNNNNNNNNNNNNNNNNNNNNNNNNNNNNNNNNNNNNNNNNNNNNNNNNNNNNNNNAUCGCUGGGUAGCUACGUCUGGCAGAGAUAACCGCUGAAAGCAUCUAAGUGGGAAACUCGCCCCAAGAUUAGGUCCCUCAUCCCGUUAAGGGAGUAAGGCCGCAGGAAGACUACCUGCUUGAUAGGCAGCAAGUGUAAGCGCAGUAAUGCGUUCAGCUAAGGUGUACUAAUGGCCGAGGGCUUAACUGU
This 2730-nucleotide ribosomal RNA is filed under the name Anaerolineales bacterium. Its description in RNAcentral is "23S ribosomal RNA". It matches the Rfam family "Bacterial large subunit ribosomal RNA". Lineage: Bacteria; Bacillati; Chloroflexota; Anaerolineae; Anaerolineales. The record is from RNAcentral.